This 492-nucleotide ribosomal RNA is filed under the name uncultured bacterium. RNAcentral's name for it is "partial 16S ribosomal RNA". It matches the Rfam family "Bacterial small subunit ribosomal RNA", at positions 29 to 507 of the family's 1533-position model. The record is from RNAcentral.
AGUGAACGCUGGCGGUAGGCCUAACACAUGCAAGUCGAACGGCAGCACAGUAAGAGCUUGCUCUUACGGGUGGCGAGUGGCGGACGGGUGAGGAAUACAUCGGAAUCUACUUUUUCGUGGGGGAUAACGUAGGGAAACUUACGCUAAUACCGCAUACGACCUACGGGUGAAAGCAGGGGAUCUUCGGACCUUGCGCGAUUGAAUGAGCCGAUGUCGGAUUAGCUAGUUGGCGGGGUAAAGGCCCACCAAGGCGACGAUCCGUAGCUGGUCUGAGAGGAUUAUCAGCCACACUGGAACUGAGACACGGUCCAGACUCCUACGGGAGGCAGCAGUGGGGAAUAUUGGACAAUGGGCGCAAGCCUGAUCCAGCCAUACCGCGUGGGUGAAGAAGGCCUUCGGGUUGUAAAGCCCUUUUGUUGGGAAAGAAAAGCAGCAGGUUAAUACCCCGCUGUUCUGACGGUACCCAAGGAAUAAGCACCGGCUAACUUCGUG